CUCGAGGCCAGAUCUUUCCGGUUGAUCCUGCCGGACCUGACUGCUAUCGGAUUGAUACUAAGCCAUGCGAGUCUUUGUAGCAAUACAAGGCAGACGGCUCAGUAACACGUAGUCAAUCUACCCUAUGGACGGGGAUAACCUCGGGAAACUGAGAAUAAUACCCGAUAGAUCAUUAUGCCUGGAAUGGUUUAUGGUCGAAAUGAUUUAUCGCCGUAGGAUGGGACUGCGGUCUAUCAGCUUGUUGGUGAGGUAAUGGCCCACCAAGGCUAUAACAGAUACGGGCUCUGAGAGGAGAAGCCCGGAGAUGGGUACUGAGACACGGACCCAGGCCCUAUGGGGCGCAGCAGGCGAGAAAACUUUGCAAUGUGCGAAAGCACGACAAGGUUAAUCCGAGUGUUUUCUGCCAAAGAAAUCUUUUGUCAGUCCUAAAAACACUGAUGAAUAAGGGGUGGGCAAGUUCUGGUGUCAGCCGCCGCGGUAAAACCAGCACCUCAAGUGGUCAGGAGGAUUAUUGGGCCUAAAGCAUCCGUAGCCGGCCGUGUAAGUUUUCGGUUAAA
This 557-nucleotide ribosomal RNA is filed under the name uncultured archaeon. RNAcentral's name for it is "bacterial SSU rRNA". It matches the Rfam family "Archaeal small subunit ribosomal RNA", at positions 1 to 549 of the family's 1478-position model. The record is from RNAcentral.